RNAcentral lists this ribosomal RNA (500 nucleotides) under uncultured bacterium. RNAcentral's name for it is "partial 16S ribosomal RNA". It matches the Rfam family "Bacterial small subunit ribosomal RNA", at positions 30 to 523 of the family's 1533-position model. The record is from RNAcentral.
AUUGAACGCUGGCGGCAGGCCUAACACAUGCAAGUCGAGCGGAUGAGAAGAGCUUGCUCUUCGAUUCAGCGGCGGACGGGUGAGUAAUGCCUAGGAAUCUGCCUAGUAGUGGGGGACAACGUUUCGAAAGGAACGCUAAUACCGCAUACGUCCUACGGGAGAAAGUGGGGGGUCUUCGGACCUCACGCUAUUAGAUGAGCCUAGGUCGGAUUAGCUAGUUGGUAGGGUAAAGGCCUACCAAGGCGACGAUCCGUAACUGGUCUGAGAGGAUGAUCAGUCACACUGGAACUGAGACACGGUCCAGACUCCUACGGGAGGCAGCAGUGGGGAAUAUUGGACAAUGGGCGAAAGCCUGAUCCAGCCAUGCCGCGUGUGUGAAGAAGGCCUUCGGGUCGUAAAGCACUUUAAGUUGGGAGGAAGGGCUCAUAGCGAAUACCUGUGAGUUUUGACGUUACCAACAGAAUAAGCACCGGCUAACUUCGUGCCAGCAGCCGCGGUAA